CCGCAGCAGCCGCGGUAAUUCCUACGGGAGGCAGCAGUGGGGAAUUUUGGACAAUGGGCGCAAGCCUGAUCCAGUAAUGCCGCGUGAGUGAAGAAGGCCUUCGGGUUGUAAAGCUCUUUCAGUCGAGAAGAAAAAGCUGCAGUGAAUAACUGUAGUUCAUGACGGUAUCGACAGAAGAAGCACCGGCUAACUACGUGCCAGCAGCCGCGGUAAU
RNAcentral lists this ribosomal RNA (214 nucleotides) under uncultured bacterium. Its description in RNAcentral is "partial 16S ribosomal RNA". It matches the Rfam family "Bacterial small subunit ribosomal RNA", at positions 315 to 524 of the family's 1533-position model. The record is from RNAcentral.